Molecule: transfer-messenger RNA, 381 nt
Filed under: Modicisalibacter coralii
Lineage: Bacteria; Pseudomonadati; Pseudomonadota; Gammaproteobacteria; Oceanospirillales; Halomonadaceae
Also listed under: 2 other names
Description: Standard tmRNA
Rfam family: transfer-messenger RNA
About the family: Bacterial tmRNA, also known as 10Sa RNA or SsrA, is named for its dual tRNA and mRNA-like properties. Its role is to liberate the mRNA from a stalled ribosome. To accomplish this part of the tmRNA is used as a reading frame that ends in a translation stop signal.
Source: RNAcentral
GGGGGCGACAUGGCUUCGACGCCGGUGACAACCCCUAAGGUGCAUGCCGAGAGCGUAGCGUAUCUCGUAAAUCCAACGCUGCGAAAAAAUAGUCGCAAACGACGACAACUACGCUCAGGGCGCUCUGGCAGCUUAAAACCUGCCGGUAGUUAGCCUGGCCCCAACGCGAUGUGCCUGUUCAUCGCCGAGGGGAUACGAGCUAAAGCUAACAGGAUCGCGGUUGGUGGCGUCUUCACGCCAACCGUUAAACUCUCUGAGGAAUCGCGGUGAUGGAUCCUGUUCGUCGGAGCCAUCAUCGUUAAAUCAAACGACGAAACUAAGCAUGUAGAGCCGAAGGGCGAGUGCCGGCGGACGCGGGUUCGAUUCCCGCCGCCUCCACCA